GAGAAACUUUAUGUACAAAAUCAGGCAGCAGGACAGAUUUGACAGAAUAAUAAUAGUUUGUAGACUGCUGAUAUAGUGGAAAGAGUUCAAAUGGAGUUUGAUUCUGGCUUUGCUAUUCUAGCGGAGUAUGUGUGGGAAAAAUGCUUUAUUUAGAUUUGAUGUAGUUUUCUUUUCUGUAAAAUAGUAAUAGUAAAACCUACUUCACAUGAAGACUCAUCUAUGAAGCUAAAUGUGGCAAGCUAUCUGGCACCUAAUAGGUACCUAAUAAAUCAUAACUAUAGUAAUUAUCAUUAUUACUGUAUUAUUACUUUAAUUUCUUAAGUUUUUGGGGGAUGUUUGCUGUCUAACUCGUGUAUUUACAGUAAACUAAUAAGUGCUGUUGAGGGAAGCAGAAUUGUUUUGCUGGUUCAUCAUGGAAGUUUCUUUUACUAGACCUAGAAAGCCACUUGAGAGCUUUUUGUUACUUAUUUCUUACCAUUGAAUGAAUACCAUUCUCUUUCAGUUCUACUUUCUCCAUUUCAAGUCUUGUUUGAAAGAAUUGUGUAGAUAUGGGUGCAUGUGUUUGCUUUUCUCCUUUAUUUUCUUUGUUGGGUAAUUGUGCGCAUGUUGAUUGGCUUCAAGUAUGGCUUUCACUAUCUCCAUGACAAUAAGCUUCUAUUGACUUGAAUUUGGACCAGCCCCUGUUGCUCUGUGAGUGGGAUCAUCUGGGUGUGUCAGGCUUCUCUGUGGUGGCAGGAGGGGGUGGCUGCACCUGUUUUACUUGUGGAGCGUUGGCACCAACGUUGCAAGUGCUUUUCUGUGUAUUUGGUUUUUUUCUUCUUUGUGAAAGGUCACUGGCUGAUUUGAGUGACUGAGCUGAGUCCCACAUCCUGAGUAUGCCACACUGGCUUUCUUUCUGUGGCAUUCUGCCUCAUUUCUAGAGAUGAGUUUGGUUCAUAGAGUGAAACUGUUUUUUAUUUUUAUGACUUCUCCUAGAAGGAGAGAAGGUCAUGAUUACCCCUGAGUGUCGAAAAUCAUUAAAGACACGAAUUUAAGGUGCAUUUUGUGACUAAAGAAGAAAAGUGUACUUUAUCAUGAUGAAAAGCAGCCACAGAAUAGGGUCCAGGUUGUUGGCUUAACCACAAUGUAAGUGAUACAGUUAACACACAGCUUUCAAUUCCUGCUGGUGGAAGGGAUGGUCAGUCCUUUCCUUCUCCUUUUUCUUGAAUCCCUUUCCUACUUUUGCUUCUUCUUCUCUUUUCCUAAAACGAAGAGUAAAGACAAAUUAUAGCAGAUCAGUGUUGUGUUGGUAUAGGGCAGGAAAUCUAUUUAAUAACAAAAAUUGUGUCAAAUUCACUUUUCUAUUUUGAAUUGAAAUUAUAAUGUACAUGGACUAAUUAGAUUGAAGACUCUAAACAUGAAGAUAAUAUUCAUGAAGUAUCUAUUGAGAAAAGGCUUGAAACGAUACCAUGUAGGUACAACAUUAAAAAUCUUCAUACACUGCACAUUUGCAUACAAGAAGGCAAUUUUUUUUGGUAGGUAAAAUGAACACUCCAAGCACAUAGAAAAGAAAAAUUAUAAAAAAUUCAAUUUCAGUCAAUAUAAUUCUGGAGGUAUAAUAUAGCACUUAAGAUUGGUCUAUAGUUUAAAUUAUUUUUUUCUGUUUGUUUUCUUUUACUUCUAC
Molecule: long non-coding RNA, 1663 nt
Filed under: Marmota monax (woodchuck)
Lineage: Eukaryota; Metazoa; Chordata; Mammalia; Rodentia; Sciuridae
Source: RNAcentral